Molecule: long non-coding RNA, 234 nt
Filed under: Elaeis guineensis (African oil palm)
Lineage: Eukaryota; Viridiplantae; Streptophyta; Magnoliopsida; Arecales; Arecaceae
Description: long non-coding RNA (EGUI_LNC010489)
Source: RNAcentral
AUAUAUGUAGAUGGAAAUAAAAUAAAAGAUGUGAUGUAUUUCAUAAUCAAGCUAUUUUCAUUAAAUACAUUUAUGAAAAUACUUUUUAUAGCAAAGCAUGAAUUUUUAUACCAUGUAUGAUGAUCUUUUAUUUUAUAAAAAAAUAUGAUUUCAUCAGUAGCAAAUAUUAUUCAUGAAAAAUAUAAUAAUCUGAAAAUAAAUAAAGAGUGUAAAAUCUACUUAUCUCAUCCACCC